This 75-nucleotide transfer RNA is filed under the name Hyphomicrobium sp. Its description in RNAcentral is "tRNA-Val". It matches the Rfam family "tRNA". Rfam says of the family: Transfer RNA (tRNA) molecules are approximately 80 nucleotides in length. Their secondary structure includes four short double-helical elements and three loops (D, anti-codon, and T loops). RNAcentral also lists the same sequence under 10 other names. The record is from RNAcentral. Lineage: Bacteria; Pseudomonadati; Pseudomonadota; Alphaproteobacteria; Hyphomicrobiales; Hyphomicrobiaceae.
GGGCGGUUAGCUCAGUGGUAGAGCGCUUCGUUUACACCGAAGAUGUCGGGAGUUCGACCCUCUCACCGCCCACCA